CAAUAGCAUAUAUUAACGUUGUUGCAGUUGAAAAGCUCGUAGUUGAACUUUUGGUAGGAGCGACCUGGCCUUGGGCGCAUGCCCUUGUUUGCCGCGUGCCGUGUCUGGCCAUCCUUUUCCGCUUCGGCGGGAAUCUUUUACUGUGAGUAAACUGGAGUGCUCAAAACAAGACGUUUGUUUGGUACAUUAAAGCAUGGAAUAAUAAGAUAGGACCUGGUUACUAUUUUGUUGGUUUGCAUAGCUAGGUAAUGAUUAACAGGGACAGUUGGGGGUAUUCGUAUUUAAUUGUCAGAGGUGAAAUUCUUGGAUUUAUGAAAGACGAACGACUGCGAAAGCAUUUACCAAGGAUGUUUUCAUUAA
This 360-nucleotide ribosomal RNA is filed under the name uncultured eukaryote. Its description in RNAcentral is "partial 18S ribosomal RNA". It matches the Rfam family "Eukaryotic small subunit ribosomal RNA", at positions 592 to 976 of the family's 1831-position model. The record is from RNAcentral.